CAGUCGACGGGGUAUCAGGGUAGUAAUACCCGAAGUACCUAGUGGCGAACGGGUGCGUAACACGUGAGCAACCUACCCCAGAGCUUGGAAUAACACCGGGAAACCGGUGCUAAUACCGAAUACUCUCAUUCGGCCGCAUGACUGAAUGAGGAAAGAUUUAUCACUCUGGGACGGGCUCGCGGCCUAUCAGCUUGUUGGUGAGGUAACGGCUCACCAAGGCUACGACGGGUAGCAGGUCUGAGAGGACGAUCAGCCACACUGGGACUGAGACACGGCCCAGACUCCUACGGGAGGCAGCAGUGGGGAAUAUUGCGCAAUGGGCGAAAGCCUGACGCAGCAACGCCGCGUGGAGGAUGAAGGCUUUCGGGUUGUAAAGUCCUUUUGGCGGGGACGAUGAUGACGGUACCCGCAGAAUAAGCUCCGGCUAACUUCGUGCCAGCAGCCGCGGUAAUACGAAGGGGGCUAGCGUUGCUCGGAAUGACUGGGCGUAAAGGGCGCGUAGGCGGACGGCACAGUCAGGCGUGAAAUUCCUGGGCUCAACCUGGGGACUGCGUCUGAGACGUGUUGUCUUGAGUAUGGAAGAGGGUUGUGGAAUUUCCAGUGUAGAGGUGAAAUUCGUAGAUAUUGGAAAGAACACCGGUGGCGAAGGCGGCAACCUGGUCCAUUACUGACGCUGAGGCGCGAAAGCGUGGGGAGCAAACAGGAUUA
RNAcentral lists this ribosomal RNA (708 nucleotides) under uncultured bacterium. RNAcentral's name for it is "bacterial SSU rRNA". It matches the Rfam family "Bacterial small subunit ribosomal RNA", at positions 59 to 780 of the family's 1533-position model. The record is from RNAcentral.